RNAcentral lists this unclassified non-coding RNA (549 nucleotides) under Hevea brasiliensis (rubber tree). Lineage: Eukaryota; Viridiplantae; Streptophyta; Magnoliopsida; Malpighiales; Euphorbiaceae. The record is from RNAcentral.
GUUUUCCAGUAUCAAUUUCAUAGCACUAGAAGUUUCCAUCUCUUGCAUAUGAAAUUGUCUUAAGAUAUCUAAGUGAAGAUUCCUCAUAUCCUCGUGAAUGGAUUUUUGAAGGGAAGAAAGAGUUUCUUCUUGUGUACGUUGGAACAGCUGGAGUGUAAAGGAACUUCCCUGCUGCAAUUCAGGCAGUGUGGACUUUUGAGAUUGCUUAAUUUCACCAUUUAUUGCUUGGAAAGCACCAGCUGCUGUAGCAGACGACGUGUCCGACCUAGAUAACAAGCUAUUCAGAAGCUCUUCCCUUGUUUCAGCUCCAGUUUUCUUAGUUUUUGGAGAACCAACAGAAAGGGUUCCAUCACUGAAGGAUGGUGUAGUGCUUAUUCUCUCAGCAUAACUGGAAAAUCUUCGUGGGAGGGAUACAGUUGAACCAAGAGUAUCAAGAGUACCCUGCCCAGUAAUGCCUUUUGUUCCAACUGAAAAGGAUGUGGAACUCGCAUGUUCUGAAGAUCCUAGAAUAGUUUCUUCAUUUGGAUUUUCUUUUAUGCGCAAAUUAGC